This 259-nucleotide ribosomal RNA is filed under the name unidentified marine bacterioplankton. RNAcentral describes it as "partial 16S ribosomal RNA". It matches the Rfam family "Bacterial small subunit ribosomal RNA", at positions 62 to 339 of the family's 1533-position model. RNAcentral also lists the same sequence under 1 other name. The record is from RNAcentral.
UCGAACGCUAAGCCAUCUUCGGAUGGUGGAAAGUGGCGCACGGGUGAGUAACACGUGGGGACCUACCUGAUAGUAAGGGACAACAGUUGGAAACGACUGCUAAUACCUUAUACGCUCUUCGGAGGAAAGAUUUAUCGCUAUCAGAUGGACCCGCGCUAGAUUAGAUAGUUGGUGAGGUAAUGGCUCACCAAGUCUGCGAUCUAUAGCUGGUUUGAGAAGAUGAUCAGCCACAUUGGAACUGAGACACGGUCCAGACUCC